RNAcentral lists this non-coding RNA (89 nucleotides) under bovine gut metagenome. RNAcentral describes it as "TPP riboswitch (THI element)". It matches the Rfam family "TPP riboswitch aptamer (THI element)", at positions 6 to 94 of the family's 105-position model. From Rfam's summary of the family: Vitamin B(1) in its active form thiamin pyrophosphate (TPP) is an essential coenzyme that is synthesised by coupling of pyrimidine and thiazole moieties in bacteria. The record is from RNAcentral.
UUUGCCAGGGGAGCUUUUGCUGAGAUAUCCCGCAAGGGAUGGACCCUUUAAACCUGAUUCGGGUAAUUCCGACGUAGGAAGGUGAACAA